UACGAAGGGGGCUAGCGUUGCUCGGAAUCACUGGGCGUAAAGGGUGCGUAGGCGGGUCUUUUAAGUCAGGGGUGAAAUCCUGGAGCUCAACUCCAGAACUGCCUUUGAUACUGAGGAUCUUGAGUUCGGGAGAGGUGAGUGGAACUGCGAGUGUAGAGGUGAAAUUCGUAGAUAUUCGCAAGAACACCAGUGGCGAAGGCGGCUCACUGGCUCGUUUCUGACGCUCAGGCGCGACAGCGUGGGGAUCGAAACAGG
Molecule: ribosomal RNA, 255 nt
Filed under: uncultured bacterium
Lineage: Bacteria
Description: partial 16S ribosomal RNA
Rfam family: Bacterial small subunit ribosomal RNA
Source: RNAcentral